This 400-nucleotide ribosomal RNA is filed under the name uncultured beta proteobacterium. Its description in RNAcentral is "bacterial SSU rRNA". It matches the Rfam family "Bacterial small subunit ribosomal RNA", at positions 223 to 615 of the family's 1533-position model. The record is from RNAcentral. Lineage: Bacteria; Pseudomonadati; Pseudomonadota; Betaproteobacteria.
GGAGCGGCCGAUAUCUGAUUAGCUAGUUGGUGGGGUAAAGGCCUACCAAGGCGACGAUCAGUAGCUGGUCUGAGAGGACGACCAGCCACACUGGAACUGAGACACGGUCCAGACUCCUACGGGAGGCAGCAGUGGGGAAUUUUGGACAAUGGGCGCAAGCCUGAUCCAGCCAUUCCGCGUGAGUGAAGAAGGCCUUCGGGUUGUAAAGCUCUUUCGCAAGGGAAGAAACGAUACAGUCGAAUAAACUGUGUUAAUGACGGUACCUUGAUAAGAAGCACCGGCUAACUACGUGCCAGCAGCCGCGGUAAUACGUAGGGUGCGAGCGUUAAUCGGAAUUACUGGGCGUAAAGCGUGCGCAGGCGGUUUUGUAAGUCAGAUGUGAAAUCCCCGGGCUCAACCU